AGCCCUAUAUUCAACAAUGAUAUUAAAUUGCAAAUUUAAAGGAAAAAUAAAAUUUUUAAGGCUU
Molecule: transfer RNA, 64 nt
Filed under: Lactica sp. BMNH 846625
Lineage: Eukaryota; Metazoa; Arthropoda; Insecta; Coleoptera; Chrysomelidae
Description: tRNA-Cys
Source: RNAcentral